RNAcentral lists this ribosomal RNA (254 nucleotides) under uncultured bacterium. RNAcentral's name for it is "partial 16S ribosomal RNA". It matches the Rfam family "Bacterial small subunit ribosomal RNA", at positions 524 to 776 of the family's 1533-position model. The record is from RNAcentral.
UACGUAGGGGGCAAGCGUUGUCCGGAUUUAUUGGGCGUAAAGAGCGUGUAGGCGGCUUGGUAGGUCCGCUGUGAAAACUCGAGGCUCAACCAUCGAGAUGUCGGCGGAAACCACUUGGCUAGAGUCCGGAAGAGGAGAGUGGAAUUCCCGGUGUAGCGGUGAAAUGCGCAGAUAUCGGGAAGAACACCUAUGGCGAAGGCAGCUCUCUGGGACGGUACUGACGCUGAGACGCGAAAGCGUGGGGAGCGAACAGG